RNAcentral lists this ribosomal RNA (253 nucleotides) under uncultured bacterium. Its description in RNAcentral is "partial 16S ribosomal RNA". It matches the Rfam family "Bacterial small subunit ribosomal RNA", at positions 524 to 776 of the family's 1533-position model. The record is from RNAcentral.
CACGUAGGGCGCGAGCGUUGUCCGGAAUUAUUGGGCGUAAAGAGCUCGUAGGCGGUCUGUUGCGUCCGCUGUGAAAACCCGGGGCUUAACCCUGGGCUGGCAGUGGAUACGGACAGACUAGAGGUAGGUAGGGGAGAAUGGAAUUCCCGGUGUAGCGGUGAAAUGCGCAGAUAUCGGGAGGAACACCGGUGGCGAAGGCGGUUCUCUGGGCCUUACCUGACGCUGAGGAGCGAAAGCGUGGGGAGCGAACAGG